This 2043-nucleotide long non-coding RNA is filed under the name Mastacembelus armatus (zig-zag eel). RNAcentral describes it as "lncRNA (ENSMAMG00000025103.1)". Lineage: Eukaryota; Metazoa; Chordata; Actinopteri; Synbranchiformes; Mastacembelidae. The record is from RNAcentral.
AUGAACUGUUUUAUGACAUUUAUUCUCCAUUUGAUUCUCUUUGCAUUUUAUUCUCCUCUCCUUUAUGCCAAUGUGAAGGAGGCAUAUAGCUCUUCAGCCCUACCCCCACUUGGUGGAUCAGACCAUAACUUAAUAUAUUUAGUACCAACAUACAAGCCUGUAGUAAGACAACAGUCUGCUACCAAGAGGUAUGUGAGAGUUUGGUCAAAGGAUGCUGAGGAGGCCCUGCAGGAGUGCUUCAGGGUUACAAACUGGGACCUUUUUAUGGACGCUCAUGGUGAGGACAUCGAAGUUAUCUCUCACUGCAUCACAGAUUACAUCCACUUCUGUGAGGACAAUAUUGUUCCGUCCAAAAAAGUUUGUUGUUUCCCCAAUAAUAAGCCAUGGAUAAAUAAGGACAUUAAAGGCCUCCUCAAUAAGAAGAAGAGGGCAUUCAUGGCAAGAGACAAGGAGGAACUCCGAGCCGCACAGAAGGAACUCAAGAGGAAGCUGAGGGAGGCAAAGCAGCUCUAUAGAGACAGAGUAGAGCAUAAGUUGAGACAGAACAAUAUCAAAGAGGUGUGGAAUGGGAUGAAAAUAAUGACUGGUUAUAAGAAGUCGCACACUGCUGUGGAAGGAGACUCAAAGUUUGCUAAUGAACUUAACCUGUUCUUUAAUAGAUUUGGCACCACCUCUGCUUCUUACUCUGAUCCAUUGUCCUCACGCACCAUCCUUCCUCCCUACACCACCUUAGCUGAUGCCUUGGGGUCUCUUCACAUCACCCCACCCAACAUCUCUGCCAAUGCUGCCUCCCCAUUGCCCACUGAUACCAUCUCCUCUAUCAGCAGCCAUACAACAUUGAAGUAUACCUCACCUCCAAUAACUCCUCCCCUGCCCUCAUCAUCUGACUCCUCAUCAACACAAUACACAGGCCCAGCCUUUGCCACAGAACAGGUGAGGAAGGAACUAGCUAAACUAAAGGCCAACAAAGCAAAAGGACCAGAUGAGAUCAGUCCCAGAGUAUUUAAGGUGUGUGCUGGACAGCUUGCAGAGGUUUUUCAGAAACUCUUCAACCUCUCUCUGAGGCUCAAAAAGGUGCCUAAGUUAUGGAAAACUUCCUGUAUUGUCCCAUUACCAAAAAGAACCCAUCCCAGUACCCUUAGUGACUUCCGACCAGUAGCGCUAACAUCACAUGUCAUGAAAGUGUUUGAGAGACUGGUCCUGCAACACCUGAGGUCCCAAGUGUCUGAAUUUCUGGACCCCCUGCAGUUUGCAUAUCAAGAACACAUCGGAGUGGAAGAUGCCAUCAUCUUCUUAAUGCACAGAGCAUACUCCCAUCUGGAGAGGCAGGGCAACACUGUGAGAGUCAUGUUUUUUGACUUUUCAAGUGAUUUCAACACUAUUCAGCCCCACCUGCUAAGUGCAAAGAUGCAGGAUAUGGAAAUUCCCGCAGACAUGGUGGAGUGGAUCAAAGACUACCUCACUGGGCGGCCACAGUUCGUUCGCUUAGAUGGCUGCAUAUCUGAUGUGGUGAUGAGCAGCACCGGUGCACCUCAAGGAACUGUACUAGCACCAUUCCUGUUUACACUCUACACCUCAGACUUCCGCUACAACUCAGGAACCUGUCACCUCCAAAAGUUCUCUGAUGACUCUUCAAUCAUUGGAUGCAUUAACAAUAAUAACGAUGAGGAAUAUAGACACUUGAUAAAAACCUUUGUUGAUUGGUGUAACAACAACUGUCUAAAGCUCAACAUCAAGAAAACCAGAGAACUGGUGGUGGACUUUAGGAGAAACAGGAAGACCCCAGUCCCUGUCUCCAUCGUUGGAGACGAAGUAGAGAUUGUGGAAUCCUACAAAUACCUUGGAGUCCAUAUUAACAACAAACUGGACUGGUCAAACAAUACAGAUGCACUCUUCAAGAAAGGACAGAGCAGACUGUUCUUCCUCAGGACUCUGUUCCUUUGGUGUGUGCAGCAAGCUGCUGAAGAUGUUCUAUCAGUCUGUAGUAGCAAGUGCACUGUUCUUUGCAGUUGUGUGCUGGGGAGGUGGCAUCAAGGCUGGUGA